Molecule: ribosomal RNA, 291 nt
Filed under: uncultured Synergistaceae bacterium
Lineage: Bacteria; Thermotogati; Synergistota; Synergistia; Synergistales; Synergistaceae
Description: partial 16S ribosomal RNA
Rfam family: Bacterial small subunit ribosomal RNA
Source: RNAcentral
CGAGCGCAACCCCUGCUGCCAGUUGCCAACGGGUAGAGCCGGGCACUCUGGCGGGACUGCCAUCGACAAGAUGGAGGAAGGUGGGGAGUGACGUCAAGUCAUCAUGGCCUUAUGUCCAGGGCGACACACGUGCUACAAUGGCCGGCACAGCGGGAAGCGAGGCAGUGAUGCCAAGCGGAUCCCUUAAAGCCGGUCUCAGUUCGGAUUGAAGUCUGCAACUCGACUUCAUGAAGCUGGAAUCGCUAGUAAUCGCAGAUCAGCCAAGCUGCGGUGAAUACGUUCCCAGGCCUU